AAAGUUUCUAUGGAAAAUGGAAAUGAGUAUCAAUAAAGAAAGAAAAAAAAACUGUUCUUAUCAGUUUAAUAUCUGAUACGUCCCCUACCUGGGGACCAUAUAUUAAAUUGAUUUUUGGAUCAGGGAGCCGGAACGGGGGCUUGCUCCUUCCACUCCACGCAUCUCCCGGUAUUGCAUUACCUCCAGGUACGGUGCACAUUCU
RNAcentral lists this small nuclear RNA (202 nucleotides) under Lates calcarifer (barramundi perch). Its description in RNAcentral is "U2 spliceosomal RNA (ENSLCAG00010023132.1)". It matches the Rfam family "U2 spliceosomal RNA". From Rfam's summary of the family: U2 is a small nuclear RNA (snRNA) component of the spliceosome (involved in pre-mRNA splicing). Complementary binding between U2 snRNA (in an area lying towards the 5' end but 3' to hairpin I) and the branchpoint sequence (BPS) of the intron results the bulging out of an unpaired adenosine, on the BPS, which initiates a nucleophilic attack at the intronic 5' splice site, thus starting the first of two transesterification reactions that mediate splicing. The record is from Rfam by way of RNAcentral. Lineage: Eukaryota; Metazoa; Chordata; Actinopteri; Centropomidae.